Cercocebus atys (sooty mangabey) is the source of this 2062-nucleotide long non-coding RNA. RefSeq lists it as uncharacterized. The record is from RefSeq and is a predicted model, not a curated record. The transcript has 2 exons. NCBI's taxonomy places the organism in Eukaryota, Metazoa, Chordata, Mammalia, Primates, Cercopithecidae.
CUCUCCUCCCGAAUUCAGUUGUGGCUUCAGCUGCCCUGCACAGCUGGGGCUGCGAAGUUGCCAGCAAGAAGCAGCCCCUGAAAAUCUCUGGGAAGACCAGUGUGCCCUUGGGGUGGGAUUCAGAGCACAGUGGGAUGGGGGAGGGUUGAGAAGGGGGUCUUGAUCCCCCUUCUCUUCCUCUAGGGGAGCCGAGGCUUGGGACUGGGGAGCAGCCGUACCCCAUGUGAGGAAGGGCGGGCCUGACUUACUGUAACUUCCUGGCCCAAAGCCCGAUUGUCCUGUGGUUGGGCUGCCCGGCCAGAGAGGCCCCUGGUGUAGGGAGGACUCAGGGAGAACUUGCCUCCCAUUGCCAGGGCCCACUGUGUGCAUACUGGGGGGCAGAGGGGCUGUGCUGCCGUUGAUUUCCUGAGACAGCUAGUAGACCAGAUGAGGCUGCCUGGAAGGUGGCUCCUCUUCCCUUAGCAGGUUGAGCCACUACCUAAAUGCCAGGUUAUUUACAAGAAAAAAAAAAAAAAAGGGGGGGGCUCAGCCCCUUUUGGAGGGCAUCAGAGCAGACAGUGUUGACUGAGCACUCACUAUGUACUACGCCAUGUGGACAUUUGCUCAAUGAACUGUCACAACCACCUAAGAAAACGGGAGCUGUUGUUACCCCCAUUGUACAGAUGGGAAGCCAAUUUAGAGUCCUGGGAUGCAAACUGGGUUUCCCCCCGGCUCCCGAUCCCCACUCCAUCUGGCCUAUGAGCGUGGGAACCAGUGUGGCCCGGAAGAGUGGCAGAUGGCCCAGCUGACUGCCCAGGUGCCCCCACCCCCCGACCACAUGGGCACGCGGCUUGCUCGGUACUCAGCUGACUUCCUGUCCCUGGAAGAGCAGCUGCCGGUAUGCUGGGGCAGGGCGGUCCCCUUCCUGUGGUUCAGGUCUGGGGAGAUCAAGGCCAACAGCAUGCUGUAUUAGGAUGGUCCCAGUCCAACAACUGAUGCCCUUAUACGAGGGAAGUCUGGCCACAGACACACAGAGGAGGCCACGCGGUGGUGGAGCCAGAGAUGUGUCUACAAACCAAGGAGCGAGCAGGUCCGCCGGCCACCACCAGAAGCUGGCAGGGGUGAGGAAGUCAUUUUUCCGUGGGGGCUUCAGAGGGAGCAUGGUCCCAGUACACCUUGAGUGUUGGCCUCCUGGCCUCCAGAGCUGUGAGAAAAUCCAUGUCUGUUGUUUGAAGCUGCUGAGUUUGUGGCAUUUUGUUAUGGCUGUCCCAGGAAAGAAAUACAAUCACCAAAUGUCAAACACAGGGCAGCUGGGAAAAACAAGAAGGAAAUGCAUGAGGCACGUAAAGAAAAGACUUGGAAGAGACCAAGGAGGGACAGGAAGGAACGCUUCCUCAACUUCCUCCUCGCACCCUGACAGGAAGCCAGAGAUCUAGUGGCUGAGCCUUGGAAGAAGUGGCUACUUUCCCCCACGCAAGAGCGGGUGAGCUUGGAUGUCGGAUGAAUGAGAAGUGUCUGAAUCUUGCUAGGUCCUAGGGAGACCCUGUUAAUAAUAACAAACUCACGAUAUGGUCUUGUCUCAUCCUCACCACAGUGCCUAAAGCAGGUUUUAUUGAAAUCCCCAUGUAUAGAUUAGGAACAAGGCAGGGCGGUUGGGUGCCUGCCCAGGGUCGCAUGCCAGCAGCAGUGAUCUGGAACACGAGCCCAGCUUUCCCACACUCUGCCCUUACCACUUGUCCUCUCCUGGUCCAGGGCUCCUGUGCCCAUGUCCAGUGCCUUGGUGGGGCUGGGCCAAGACACACAGUGAGCCCUCUGGCCACAGGCAGGGUCAUUGGAGACCUGCUGCCUGGGUUUGGAUCCCAGCUCUACUCCUGGUGAGCUGUGUGACCUUGCACAAGUUACAUUACAUCCCUGUUUUGCAGUUUAUCCCACUGAGAAAAUAGGGACAAGAAUAGUACGUAACUCAUGGAGUUGCUGGAGACCUCCAUGAGUCAGUAUGUUUCAGGUGCUUAGAAUAGUGCUUGGAACAUUGGAAGCACAGCCAUAAAAGUGUUGUGAAAUAAAUAAAACCCGCUGGGCGAGA